CGUGAAGCUGGAUUCGCUAGUAAUCGCGCAUCAGCCAUGGCGCGGUGAAUACGUUCCCGGGCCUUGUACACACCGCCCGUCAAGCCAUGGGAGCCGGGGGUGCUUGAAGUGCGUCGCCGCAAGGCGCGCCCUAGAGCAAAACCGGUNACUGGGGCUAAGUCGUAACAAGGUAAC
This 174-nucleotide ribosomal RNA is filed under the name uncultured bacterium. Its description in RNAcentral is "partial 16S ribosomal RNA". It matches the Rfam family "Bacterial small subunit ribosomal RNA", at positions 1319 to 1500 of the family's 1533-position model. The record is from RNAcentral.